RNAcentral lists this ribosomal RNA (757 nucleotides) under Curculio parasiticus. RNAcentral's name for it is "eukaryotic LSU rRNA". It matches the Rfam family "Eukaryotic large subunit ribosomal RNA", at positions 63 to 613 of the family's 3401-position model. The record is from RNAcentral. Lineage: Eukaryota; Metazoa; Arthropoda; Insecta; Coleoptera; Curculionidae.
AACUAACUAGGAUUCCCUCAGUAGCUGCGAGCGAACAGGGAUAAGCCCAGCACCGAAUCCCGCGGCCGAUACCGGACGCCGGGAAAUGUGGUGUUCGGGAGGGUCCAUUAUCCCGAGGUUAUGCGAUGCGUCCAAGUCCUUCUUGAACGGGGCCACAGCCCAUAGAGGGUGCCAGGCCCGUAGUGACCGUCGCUAAUCGCGGGAGGAUCUCUCCUCAGAGUCGGGUUGCUUGAGAGUGCAGCCCUAAGUGGGUGGUAAACUCCAUCUAAGGCUAAAUAUGACCACGAGACCGAUAGCGAACAAGUACCGUGAGGGAAAGUUGAAAAGCACUUUGAAGAGAGAGUUCAAGAGUACGUGAAACCGUUUAGGGGUAAACCUGAGAAACCCGAAAGGUCGAAGGGAGAAAUUCAUUCGCGUUUCGACGUAGGCGUCGAACGGUCGUGUGACGGAAGGCGUUCGCGCUAUUUCGCACCUUCAGUUCGUACGAACCGACGGCGAACGCGUGCACUUUUCUCCUGGUAGGACGUCGCGAUCCGUUGGGUGUCGGUCUACGGCUCGCGGUGGAGCCCGUUCGUCGUGUCAAAACGUACGAGCGGACCCGCGUGUCCCGGCCGACCCGCUCGACGGUAUACGAAAGGUUUAAGGCCGCUCUUAUGAGCGUUCGGCUCGUGGCAAGCGCGCCAGAUGCGUUGGCGAUCGGACCUAGUGCCGAUUCUGACCUCUGGUGACUGUUGGCCACGAUGUCCUCGAACAGACC